AACUUUCAACGAUGGAUGUCUUGAGUCACGCAACGAUGAAGAACGCAGCGAAAUGCGAUACGUAAUGUGAAUUGCAAAACUCCGUGAUCAUCAAAAUUUUGAACGCACAUUGCGCUUCUAGGAUUUGCCUAGGAGCAUGCCUGUUUGAGUGUUCGUGA
This 158-nucleotide ribosomal RNA is filed under the name Chaetoceros sp. RCC4812. Its description in RNAcentral is "5.8S ribosomal RNA". It matches the Rfam family "5.8S ribosomal RNA". From Rfam's summary of the family: 5.8S ribosomal RNA (5.8S rRNA) is a component of the large subunit of the eukaryotic ribosome. It is transcribed by RNA polymerase I as part of the 45S precursor that also contains 18S and 28S rRNA. RNAcentral also lists the same sequence under 1 other name. The record is from RNAcentral. Lineage: Eukaryota; Bacillariophyta; Thalassiosirophyceae; Chaetocerotales; Chaetocerotaceae.